Molecule: long non-coding RNA, 553 nt
Organism: Parus major (Great Tit)
Lineage: Eukaryota; Metazoa; Chordata; Aves; Passeriformes; Paridae
Exons: 3
Source: RefSeq, a predicted model, not a curated record
GAGCAGAAUGCCGUUUUAAAGUCAAUUAUGCUAAAAGUCUCACAACUUGUCAAAAAUAUGAAGCUUCUGAGAUGUGGAGCAUGGAAGAGACAGCAGAAAUUCUGAUUCAUCACCAAAGUGUUUGAUACACCAAGCAUCCAGCUUCAACCAAAAGAAACGAGUGAGCUUCCAAAAAUGUUCCUUUGUAGAUAAGAUGUCGUCUACUUUCCUACCUGGGAGAGGAGCUGAAUGAGCAAGGCCAGCCUGAAUGCCUCAAACUCCUGGGGAAUUUUCUCUUGGAAGCCAGUGGCAGCUUCACAUCUUUGUGUUAAUGUGUGACCAGGAAUAUGCCAAUUUGAUUCACUGCUCUGGAAAUACAGGCAGAAAUGUCAGUAAGAAAUUGGCAGGGUUCUACAGCCGUGGUCUGGCUUUGCCAUUCAAAGUUUAUCAUUCUGCUGAGAAAGCCUUGAGGAUUCCCAAAGCAAUGGUGUGAAAAUCAAGGUAAGCAGUGACUAAAUUAAGUGCAGAGACUAAAUUAAAAUUGGACAUUGUAUUGUGUGCCCAUAGCUGGAAA